UUAUGCCUACGGGGCGCAGCAGUGAGGAAUAUUGGUCAAUGGCCGCAGGGCUGAACCAGCCAAGCCGCGUGAGGGAGGAAGGUACAGAGUAUCGUAAACCUCUUUUGUCAGGGAACAAAGGCGGGGACGCGUCCCCGGAUGAGUGUACCUGAAGAAAAAGCAUCGGCUAACUCCGUGCCAGCAGCCGCGGUAAUACGGAGGAUGCGAGCGUUAUCCGGAUUUAUUGGGUUUAAAGGGUGCGCAGGCGGUCUGUUAAGUCAGCGGUCAAAGCCCGGGGCUCAACCCCGGCCCGCCGUU
RNAcentral lists this ribosomal RNA (297 nucleotides) under uncultured bacterium. RNAcentral describes it as "partial 16S ribosomal RNA". It matches the Rfam family "Bacterial small subunit ribosomal RNA", at positions 333 to 628 of the family's 1533-position model. The record is from RNAcentral.